CACUCCUGCGGGAGGCAGCAGUGGGGAAUUUUGGACAAUGGGCGAAAGCCUGAUCCAGCAAUGCCGCGUGAGUGAAGAAGGCCUUCGGGUUGUAAAGCUCUUUUGUCAGGGAAGAAACGGUGAGAGCUAAUAUCUUUUGCUAAUGACGGUACCUGAAGAAUAAGCACCGGCUAACUACGUGCCAGCAGCCGCGGUAAUACGUAGGGUGCAAGCGUUAAUCGGAAUUACUGGGCGUAAAGCGUGCGCAGGCGGUUUUGUAAGUCUGAUGUGAAAUCCCCGGGCUCAACCUGGGAAUUGCAUUGGAGACUGCAAGGCUAGAAUCUGGCAGAGGGGGGUAGAAUUCCACGUGUAGCAGUGAAAUGCGUAGAUAUGUGGAGGAACACCGAUGGCGAAGGCAGCCCCCUGGGUCAAGAUUGACGCUCAUGCACGAAAGCGUGGGGAGCAAACAGGAUUAGAUACCCUUGUAGUCCC
RNAcentral lists this ribosomal RNA (471 nucleotides) under uncultured organism. RNAcentral describes it as "partial 16S ribosomal RNA". It matches the Rfam family "Bacterial small subunit ribosomal RNA", at positions 334 to 797 of the family's 1533-position model. The record is from RNAcentral.